UGAUACGCUUUUGCUCCAGAGCAUCUUGUUCACAACAAGUGAAACACCCUAUAAUUCAUGCUUGGACUGAAGGCUUUGAGUAAGUAUGGCAAGGAAGGCUGUCUGACCACCAUCUUCAAGUUGACUUUGCUGGCUUCCCUCAGUGAAAGGAAAAAAGUGCUCCUGAGCAACAGUUCCACGUACAUCGUCACAGCUACCAGGACAGAUGCAUCGUGUUCUGUUACAAAUAAACCAGCGAUCCCUAAAGAAAUGAUGGUCCCAUCAGACCAAACGAGGAUAUUAGUAAAGGUUAAAGGAGAUAUUGCAUCACUGAAACUGGUAAAGUUCCCAGAGAUUGAAAAAGGGAAACAUAACUUGCAUUUUUAAAAAGUGUUAAAAAGGAAGACCCAGGGACCCAGUCAGUCUCACCACAGUCCCUGGCAAGAUAGUGGAGCAAAUCCUCCUGAAAACUAUGUUGAGGUGUAUGGAGGACAGGGAAGUGACUGGUGACAGCUAACUGGCUUCACUAGGGGCAAAUUAUGGUUGCCUGAUUUGGUGGCCUUCCAAUGGGGUUACAGCAUUUGUGGAUAGGGGAAGAAUGACUGACAUUAAUCCACUUGUCCUCAUGCAAAGCAUUUGAUACUGUCCCAUACUACUUCCUUGUGUCUGCACUGGGGAGACAUUGAUUUAAUGGGUGAAACAUUUGGUGGAUAAGGAAUUGGCUGGGUGUUUCACUCAGAGAAAUACAGCCAACAUCUUGAUGUCCACGUGGUGACCAGUGAUGACUUGGGUCCCUCUGCGAUCUGUACUGAGAUGAGUAUUAUUUAACAUCUUCGACAACAUGGACACUGGAAUUGAGUGCACCAUCUACAAGUUUACUUGCCAAGCUCGACUGAUGCUCUAAGUGCAGUUGAUAUUCUAGAAAUAGGAAUGCCAUCCAGAGGGAUAUUUACAAGCUUGAGAAAUGGACCAGCUUGAGUUUUAUGAAGCUCAAUAUAGCCAGGUGUUAAAUCCUGCACCUGAGUUAGGUCAAUCCCAAACAUGGAUACAGUCUGGAUGAUAAACAGACUGAGAGCAGCCCUGCAGAGGUGGACUUGAGUGUGGUGAUAGAUGAGAAGCUCAGCAUGAAGCAGCAAUGUGCACUUGCAACCCAGAGAGUCAGCCGUGUCCUGGGCUGCAGCCAAAGCAGUGUGCCCAGCAGGGCAAGGGAGGGGAUUCUGCCCUCAGUUCUGAUCUCAUGAGAUCCCCACCUGCAGUGCUGCAUCCAGCUAUAGGACUUCUAUGGGAGCAAGUCCAGAGGGCCAUGAACAUGAUCAGAGGGCUGGACCAAAUCUACAAAGACAUGCUGAGACAGUUCAGGUUUUGGGACCAUUCUUGUUCUUUAAAAUGUGCUUGACAGGUUUUGCAGGUUUAAUGAAAGUAUUGUCAUGAAGCUGUUCUGCAAUGUGAGUUCACUGGAUGCAAUGCCAGGUAGCCCAAAGGUCUCCACAGAAUACUGUGCAGGUCAGCUAGUGCUAGCUGGUAACAACUAGUGCUUAAUUUGCCACUCUCUGUUUUAAUAUCAAAUCAUGGCCUUUCCUCUCAAAUACUAAAAUAAUUCAUUUUAUACUCUGAGGAAAAUGAAAUAACGUCUCUCCUAAUUAUUUCAUUACUGAUUUCACAUCUGUGGCCAAGCACUUUCCUAGCACAUAAAUUCAAUACUAACUGUAACACAAAAAUUACUGGAAAAUAUUAGACAUUAAGGCUGCACAGGUCACCCCUGACUUGUGGACCAAUAUGCUGGUGGAGAGGUUUUGCCUGCCCAGUGGAAGUUUCUCAGCUCCUCUGUGCAUUCAAGGCCAAUGGAGACAGAUCAUGAAGACUAUAAAUCAUCAUCUAAUCCCUCUCCUCUCUUGUUUUCUCACGUCUCCACCAAAACCUCCACUAUAUAAAAAUGGAAAUACUUGGGAGAAACCUCAUUGACUAUUUAAAUCUGAUGUGCUUUGGUGGUUGUCCUAAAAUCUCUCCUACCUGUCUCUAGCCAUCUUCAUCCUUCAGUCAUUUCAUAUCAUCAUUUCCUCUAUUUCCACAGGAAUGAAAGAGUAAACAUGCAUAAUUUAAAACAUAAAGGAAAACAAUCUAAUUAAAUUUGUGUAUUGGCAGAACAAUGUAAUCAGAGUAUUCCCACUUUUAACUGAUUUUGCUUUGUCUACCUCUGUCUUUUGGUCAUGAUUUGGCUUUUUUUAGAUCUUUAUGUCAAAAUGAGUCUUUUUACUGCUAUGAAAGGACUGUGGCUGAGUAUUACUGCAGUAACUGUACUAAUCCUAGUAGAGAUUUUUAUUCCAGUGACUCCAGAUAUUAAUUUCUUGGAAGCUAAGGGCAUUUAAACUAGCUGUGAGUUAACAGCAGGCUCCAUAGCAGCCUGUUGGCCCCCAAGUCAAGCUCAGCUGAUAAGCAAUUCCCUUUACACCCAGCAGCUGGUAAUGGAUGACAUAAACCAGAUGCUAAGAUAACAAUUUAAACAUUAGUGACCCCAGCAGGGCUUCCUCCAAUGUAAAUUUAUACUGUCUUUUGGUAUGUAAAAAGCAUUUUGUAAUUCCUUUCUGUUCUGAACUAUUUUAGUUUUAGUUUUAGUGCUGUAUUUUGGCCUAUAUUAAUGCUGUCAUUUGUAUCAUCCCACAGUCUUACAUAAUCCUCUUCAAAGAGAAAUGGUUAAAUGCUUCUUAGUCCCAUUUUCAAUUGAAUUUAAAAUUCUAUUAUUAUCAUUAUCAGUAUUACCAUUAUCAUUAUUAUUAACUAUAUUUAUCUUUAUCUUUAUCUUUAUCUUUAUCUUUAUCUUUAUCUUUAUCUUUAUCUUUAUCUUUAUCUUUAUCUUUAUCUUUAUCUUUAUCUUUAUCUUUAUCUUUAUCUUUAU
This is a long non-coding RNA of Ficedula albicollis (Collared flycatcher), 2872 nucleotides long. The record is from Ensembl. Lineage: Eukaryota; Metazoa; Chordata; Aves; Passeriformes; Muscicapidae.